UCACAGGCCCACAGGAAGGACAAGCUCCAGUCAGAGACAGCAAGACCAAUUAACACCAGCAAUAACCAGAUGGAAAGAGGUAAGAGCAAGAACCUAAGCAACAGAAAACACGGCUACUUGCCAUUAUCAGAUCCCAGUUCUCCUAUCACAGUAAGUCCUGGGUACUCCAACACACCAGAAAAGCAAGAUUCAGAUUUAAAAUCACAUCUCAUGAUGAUGAUAGAGGACUUUAAGAAGGACAUAAACAACCCCCUUAAGGAAAUAGAGGAGAACACAGGUAAACAGGUAGAAGCCCUUAAAUAGGAAACAAAAAUCCCUUAAAGAGUUACAGGAAAACACAACCAAACAGGUGAAGGAAUUGAACAAAACUAUCCCAGAUCUAAAAAUGGAAAUAGCAACAAUAAAGAAAUCACAAAGGUAAAUAAUCCUGCAGAUAGAAAGACUGGAAAAAGAGAUCAGGAGCAUAGAUGCAAGCAUCACCAAUAGAAUUCAAGAGAUAGAAGAGAGAAUCUCAGGUGCAGAAGAUACCAUAGAAAACAUUGACACAACAGUCAAAAGAAAAUGCAAAAUGCAAAAAAGUUCCUAACCCAAAACAUCCAGGAAAUCAAGAACACAAUGAGAAAAUCAAACCUAUGGAUAAUAGGUAUGGAAGAGAGUGAAGAUUCCCAACUUAAAGGGCCAGUAAAUAUCUUCAACAAAAUUAUAGAAGAAAACUUCCCUAACCUAAAGAGAUGUCUGUAAACAUACAAGAAGCCUACAGAACUCCAAAUAGACUGGAUCAGAAACAGUAAGGGAAAAAGGUAGACACUACCUCAGAGUAAAAGGAUGGAAAAAAAUAUCCAAGCAAAUGGUCCCAAGAAAUAAGCUAGAGUAGCCAUUCUAAUAUGGAGGAAAAUAGACUUUCAACCAAAAGUUAUCAAAAAAGAUGAGGAAGUGCACUUCAUCCUCAUCAAAGGGGAAAUCUACCAAGAUGAACUCUCAAUUCUGAAUAUCUGUGCUCCAAAUGCAAGAGCACCCAUUCAUAAAAGAAACUUUACUAAAACCCAAAGCACACAUUGCACCUAACACAAUAACACUGGGAGAUUUCAAUACCCCACUUUCAUCAAUGGACAGAUCAUGUCCAUUUAGUUUUAACAAAAACUAAACAGAGACACAGUGAACUAGACACAUAACUAGCAGAAGUUAUGAACCAAAUGGAUUUAACAGAUAUAUGUAGAACAUUUCAUCCUAAAACAAAACAUAUAAUACCUUCUCUGCAGUACCUCAUGGUACCUUCUCCAAAAUUGACCAUAUAAUUGGUCAUAAAACAGGCAUCAACGAAUAGAAGAAGAUUGAAAUAAUCUUAUGCAUCCUAUCAGAUCACCAUGGACUAAGAAUUGUCUUCAAUAACAACAAAAACAACAAAUCCUACAUACACAUGAAAGCUAAACAACACUCUACUCAAUGAUAACUUGGUCAAGGAAGAAAGAAAUAUAUUAAAGACUUUUCAGAAUUUAGUGAAAAGGCACAAUAUACCCAAACUUAUGGGACACAGUGAAAGCAGUGCUAAGAGGAAAACUCAUAGCUCUGAAUUCCUUCAAAAAGAAACUGGAGAGAGUAUACACUAACAGCUUGACAGCACAUCUGAAAGCUCUAGAACAAAAAGAAGCAGAUACACCCAAGAGGAGUAGGUGGCAGAAAAUAAUCAAACUCAGGGUUGAAAUUAGCCAAGUAGAAACAAAAAGACCUAUACAAAGAAUGAACCAAACUAGGAGCUGGUUCUUUGAGAAAAUCAACAAGCUAGGUAAACCCUUGCCAGACUAACCAGAUGACACAGAGAUGGCAUCCAAAUUAACAAAAUC
RNAcentral lists this long non-coding RNA (1841 nucleotides) under Mus musculus (house mouse). Its description in RNAcentral is "long non-coding RNA chr11:21620547-21622388". Lineage: Eukaryota; Metazoa; Chordata; Mammalia; Rodentia; Muridae. The record is from RNAcentral.